GAGCACUGUUCGUAACCUGUUGACCUGACUGUGGCUGACAGGUUCCAUUCCAGUGCAACAGCAUGUCCAGGGACACAUGACUGACUGGCUGAUGGCUUUCAGUUUCAGGUCUUGGAAACAAAU
Molecule: small nucleolar RNA, 123 nt
Organism: Microcebus murinus (gray mouse lemur)
Lineage: Eukaryota; Metazoa; Chordata; Mammalia; Primates; Cheirogaleidae
Source: Ensembl